UACGCCGGGUUAAGGCGUCCGAUGCGGGACGCUCAGAGACCCCAUAAAAGGUGUCGGUUGCUCUAGACAGCAGGACGGUGGCCACAGAAGUCGGCAUCCGCUAAGGAGUGUGUAACAACUCACCUGCCUAAGCAACAGGUCCUGAAAAUGGAUGGCGCUCCAGCGUCGAGCCCAUACCCGGCCCUUUCUCUAAUGUUGAUUGAAAGGAGAAAGGAGUAGGAGGGUCGCGGCGGAGUGCGUAGAAGGUCAGGGCGCGAUCCCGACUGGAGCCUCCGCCGGUGCAGAUCUUGGUGGUAGUAGCAAAUAUUCGAGUGAGAACCUCGAAGACUGAAGCACGGCGAAGGGUUCCAUGUGAACAGCAGUUGAACAUGGGUGAGAAGGUCCUGAUUCACUUCCUAAAGGAAACUUAAUGGUCUCUAUUAUUUGAGUAAGAGACGUAUUGGGGAGAAUGGGAAAAGGGUUAAUAUUCCCUUACCCGGACACGGAGAUAGGGGCACCAGUGUCCCAAGUGCGGUAACGCAAACGAACUCGGCGACGCCGUCGGAGGACCCGGAGAAGAGUUGACUUUUCUUCGUAAGAGCUCGUGUCCCUGGAAUCUCGUCACGAGGAGAUAGGGACGCUGUUCUCGUAAGAGCACGGUCGCUGCUGUCGUGUCCGGUACGCCUCCGCCGGCCCUUGAAAAACCGAGGGAGAGAGUGUGAUUUUCGUGCCGGUCCGUACCCAUAUCCGCAGCAGGUCUCCAAGGUGAACAGCCUCUAGUCUCUAGAACAAUGUAGGUAAGGGAAGUCGGCAAGUUCGAUCGCUAACUUCGGGAAAAUGAUUGGCUCUUGUGUUUCCGUCCUGGCGGACCUCUUUUGCCGUAUUUCGUCUCGUCUUUUUCGGGGACUGACCGCUCUUUCCGGGGUGGUCGGACCUCAUUAGGAUGAAUGGAAGAGGAAAGAGGGUGACCCUCUCCUUCGAGAGUUGGGCUUGUGCCGCCGGACAAAAUGGAAACGAACAAGAACUGGCACGGACUAGGGGAAUCCGACUGUCUAAUUAAAACA
Trichonephila clavata is the source of this 1043-nucleotide non-coding RNA. The record is from the annotation of a GenBank genome assembly. Lineage: Eukaryota; Metazoa; Arthropoda; Arachnida; Araneae; Nephilidae.